This is a microRNA precursor of Chlorocebus sabaeus (green monkey), 93 nucleotides long. The record is from Ensembl. NCBI's taxonomy places the organism in Eukaryota, Metazoa, Chordata, Mammalia, Primates, Cercopithecidae.
AAAUUAUUAGGUUGGUGCAAAAGUAAUUGCAGUUUUUGUCAUUACUUUUAAUUGUAAAAACUGCAAUUACUUUUGCACCAACCUAAUAAUUUA